Molecule: ribosomal RNA, 245 nt
Filed under: uncultured prokaryote
Description: partial 16S ribosomal RNA
Rfam family: Bacterial small subunit ribosomal RNA
Source: RNAcentral
UACGGAGGAUGCAAGCGUUAUCCGGAUUUAUUGGGUUUAAAGGGUGCGCAGGUUGUUUGAUAAGUCAGUGGUGAAAGUCUGUCGCUUAACGGUAGGAUUGCCAUUGAUACUGUUAGACUUGAAUAUGGAUGAGGUAGGCGGAAUGUGUAGUGUAGCGGUGAAAUGCAUAGAUAUUACACAGAACACCGAUUGCGAAGGCAGCUUACUAAUCCAUCAUUGACGCUGAGGCACGAAAGCGUGAGGAU